AUGCAGACCCAGAGAAGUGCCAGCCCCUUCUGACCUCACGAGGGGGCCGGGGGCCAAGCUUUGUAACGGAUCAGUGCCAUGGGCACUUGGCAAUGGCUGGACUUCAUGGAGCCUUACAAGAUUUGCAUUUGUUUGCUCCUGCCUGAAGCCUGGAGAUCAAAUGGAAUUUAGCCACUGAGCUCUUUUCGAUCGAAACUUCAAACUUCGAGCAUUCCUAGACCCCUGCCCUCAUCUAAGAAUUUGAACUGCACGCCCCAGAGAAGAGGGAAUUGUCAUUCUCCGGGGAGUGCUUUUUGUUGUGUCUGUCUAUCCAGCACAGAGUCCAACAGAGGCAAGACCGCUCGCUGCCCGCCUCGUGCAUGAGGUUUAUUUGUCCUUUGCUCUUGCAUUGAGGAUGAAGCCCUCUCCAGUCCCAGCUUCCAUAGGAGGCCCAGCUGGAGACUCCCCACCUUCGGCAGGCUCGGGGCUUGACCCGUGGGUCCUGUACUCGUCAAAGCAGAACAUCAGUGUCUCCAGGGUUCUGCAGAAACCCCAGAAUAGAAGCUGGUUUUACUUCUCA
Molecule: long non-coding RNA, 559 nt
Organism: Suricata suricatta (meerkat)
Lineage: Eukaryota; Metazoa; Chordata; Mammalia; Carnivora; Herpestidae
Exons: 2
Source: RefSeq, a predicted model, not a curated record